This is a long non-coding RNA of Xenia sp. Carnegie-2017, 474 nucleotides long. RefSeq lists it as uncharacterized. The record is from RefSeq and is a predicted model, not a curated record. The transcript is spliced from 2 exons. Lineage: Eukaryota; Metazoa; Cnidaria; Anthozoa; Malacalcyonacea; Xeniidae.
GCCAAUGUUACAGAGAAAAGCUUAUUUGAAGACAACAUCAAUCACACAUUUUAUGAGUCAGAGUGAGACUUGCCUGUUCAUGACUCAAGGAGAAAACUAAAAAAAGUGUGAUGUUUUGCGGCAAGUAGUUAUUUGUAAGGAGGAGGAGGUGUGGAAAGUGCAUUUACUGUUAUUUUGAGUGUAAAUUAUUGACAGUUUGUUGAACUCAUGAUGGUGGAAGUAGGCAAGAAUCAAAAUAUAAGUUUAUUUCACAGAAUAGAUUUACCGAAGCUCCAUAGGAAUGCACAUGGUCAACGUAAUUAAUUAUUAACUUGAUACAUAAAUGAUACUACUACAAUGGUCACAUGAAAAUGUCAUGUGACAAAAUUUACCAUUCAGUAUGAAUUAAUGUUUAUCUCAAUACAGCUAGAUGGCUAUACCAAGUUACUGUGAAAACUCAAAUAAACUAGAUGACAAAUAAAAUGACAAAAAAGA